Molecule: ribosomal RNA, 913 nt
Filed under: uncultured Nitrososphaerota archaeon
Lineage: Archaea; Thermoproteati; Nitrososphaerota
Description: bacterial SSU rRNA
Rfam family: Archaeal small subunit ribosomal RNA
Source: RNAcentral
UUCCGGUUGAUCCUGCCGGACCUGACUGCUAUCGGAUUGAUACUAAGCCAUGCGAGUCAUUGUAGCAAUACAAGGCAUACGGCUCAGUAACGCGUAGUCAACCUACCCUAUGGACGGAAAUAACCUCGGGAAACUGAGAAUAAUAUCCGAUAGAACAUUAUGCCUGGAAUGGUUUAUGUUCCAAAUGAUUUAUCGCCGUAGGAUGGGACUGCGGCCUAUCAGUUUGUUGGUGAGGUAAUGGCCCACCAAGACUAUUACAGGUACGGGCUCUGAGAGGAGUAGCCCGGAGAUGGGUACUGAGACACGGACCCAGGCCCUAUGGGGCGCAGCAGGCGAGAAAACUUUGCAAUGUGCGAARGCACGACAAGGUUAAUCCGAGUGAUUUCUGCUAAAGAAAUCUUUUGUUAGUCCUAGAAACACUAACGAAUAAGGGGUGGGCAAGUUCUGGUGUCAGCCGCCGCGGUAAAACCAGCACCUCAAGUGGUCAGGAUGAUUAUUGGGCCUAAAGCAUCCGUAGCCGGCUCUGUAAGUCCUCGGUUAAAUCUGUACGCUUAACGUACAGGCUGCCGGGAAUACUGCAUAGCUAGGGAGUGGGAGAGGUAGACGGUACUCGGUAGGAAGGGGUAAAAUCCUUUGAUCUAUUGAUGACCACCUGUGGCGAAGGCGGUCUACCAGAACACGUCCGACGGUGAGGGAUGAAAGCUGGGGGAGCAAACCGGAUUAGAUACCCGGGUAGUCCCAGCUGUAAACUAUGCAAACUCAGUGAUGCAUUGGCUUGUGGCCAAUGCAGUGCUGCAGGGAAGCCGUUAAGUUUGCCGCCUGGGAAGUACGUACGCAAGUAUGAAACUUAAAGGAAUUGGCGGGGGAGCACCACAAGGGGUGAAGCCUGCGGUUCAAUUGGAGUCAACGCCGG